Molecule: transfer RNA, 85 nt
Filed under: Caudoviricetes sp.
Lineage: Duplodnaviria; Heunggongvirae; Uroviricota; Caudoviricetes
Description: tRNA-OTHER
Rfam family: tRNA
About the family: Transfer RNA (tRNA) molecules are approximately 80 nucleotides in length.
Source: RNAcentral
AUAUGGUUAGCUCAGCAUGGUGAGAGCGGCCGUACUGCGAGAUGCGUACGGAGGGUCGCGGGUUCAAAUCCACGCACUGUAUUCA